AUGGAUUUUUUCGGAGGAGAGAAUCGUCUGUACCAUAUUUCCUUCCGACUGGAUGAAAACAAGCUAGUAUUCAACUCACACUUCUCCGGUGUGUGGGGAACAGAGAUUAGGCAAUUGGUACCGAGUCUCUGGUGGAGAUACGACUGGAUCAAGGCAUGUACAUGCUAGCUAUAGAUGGAUCAAGCAUACAUAACUUCACAGACAGAUACCCGAAUGCGAUUCCGGAAAACAUCUUGUUCAGGGGCGACGCGAAGCUCACAGCAGUGUACAUCACCAUGUAACGUUGUUGUCAUGAUCAACUGACUCUCGCUCACAAACCCUGCAAAACGAAAAGAUCCCACAGCUGAACUAAACAGUUUCUGGACAUACAAAGCAAUGUGAACAUUGUAUCAUCAUGCGCAGUCAGCGGAGUAUCAGACGUUUCUUUCAAAACCAUGGGUGACACAUUUUUUGGUCACUCGGCUUCUGUACUCCUAAUGUCUCUUUUAGAUGACAUUGCGGUUUCAAAAACGUAUAUUGUAUAACGUAUUCA
Haliotis rufescens (red abalone) is the source of this 532-nucleotide long non-coding RNA. RefSeq lists it as uncharacterized. The transcript has 2 exons. The record is from RefSeq and is a predicted model, not a curated record. Lineage: Eukaryota; Metazoa; Mollusca; Gastropoda; Lepetellida; Haliotidae.